Pongo pygmaeus (Bornean orangutan) is the source of this 1234-nucleotide long non-coding RNA. RefSeq lists it as uncharacterized. The transcript is spliced from 6 exons. The record is from RefSeq and is a predicted model, not a curated record. NCBI's taxonomy places the organism in Eukaryota, Metazoa, Chordata, Mammalia, Primates, Hominidae.
CUUGUCAACAGUAUCGUGAAAUUUCCAGCUAAAAUAAGGAUACUCACUGGGUGCUCUGACUGUGUCAGGAACAGGGGUAAGUGCUGGCAAUAUUUAGGCAAAUAUGACAAGGCCCCUGCCCUAGAGAAGCUCAUCUUGAUGAGACACGUAGCCAGAUACACAUUCAUAGCACAAUAUGGUAAGUGUCAUAGUAGACCUUGGUGCCAAGUUUGUCAGAAUCCAUUUAUUCCUGGACUGAUUUAACACUAUCUCCCUAAAUGAUUAUAACAAACUUAUAUCUUAUGCAUUGAUAUUUACUGAUGUUUUUAUUAAUUUGUUCAUUCUUUACACCUUUGGAAUUCAGAUAUGGGCCACAGUAGAUUGCCUGUCUCACUAAUUUAUAGUCAAUCCUUGGUUUUUUGACCGCCCCCCGCCGCCCCUGAUAGCAUUAACCAGUUUGUAUUCCUCUGCUGGUCAAUGAAGACAGAUAAUCACUGUUUUUGAUCACUUUCACAUCCAUCUUCAAAAGAUGAUCUACCCCAACUGAAGAUACUUAAAACGAUGUGAACAAAUUUUUGAAGACAAUUGCAGGAGGUAAAUUAGAAAGAUGAAAAUAAUACCUUAAAGAAAGCAUCUGUAGUCUCCCAAGGCCAAAGAACAACAGCUGGCUGGGCUCAGGAGCAAUCUUACUUCCUUUACUGCUCCAGAAAGGACACCGAUGGGAGGAUGUGGUGGUGAUGGUGGAGGCAGAGCUGUGAAGAACUGAGAGGCUAUUAGAAAACCGCAGUGGAACAGUGGCUGGGGAAAAGGAUUGUAUUUGCUGGGGCUGCUAUUGAAAAGUACCGUGAACUGGGUGGCUUAAACACCAGAAAUUAUUCUCUCACGGUUCUGGAGGAUUAAAGCCCAAAAUCAAGGUGUGGGCAGGGUUGGUUUCCCUGAGAGCUGCGAGCGAAGGAUCUGUUCCAGGCCUCUGUCCUUGGCUGAUUUCCUGGCAAAUAGAAAAAGCUCUCUUCGUCUUUAAAGUUCAUGACAGAUUCCCUAAGUGUUUGUAAAACAUCUGCCAACCACACUGAUGGGCUCUCACACAAAGGUUUUGGAAAUACAGACUGAUUUCCUUUGGUUACUACAACUGAUUUUUUUUUUUUUUUUUUUUUUGGUUACUACAAUUGAUUUUAUCUCUAUAAUUUUCUUCUCUGUCAUCUUAUUUUAAACAAAAACCGUGGCACAAAAAUAAAGUGAUGGCUUUUGAGGAAAA